RNAcentral lists this ribosomal RNA (433 nucleotides) under uncultured bacterium. Its description in RNAcentral is "partial 16S ribosomal RNA". It matches the Rfam family "Bacterial small subunit ribosomal RNA", at positions 29 to 507 of the family's 1533-position model. The record is from RNAcentral.
AACGAACGCUGGCGGCAUGCCUAACACAUGCAAGUCGAACGAGACCUUCGGGUCUAGUGGCGCACGGGUGCGUAACGCGUGGGAACCUGCCCUUAGGUUCGGAAUAACUCCCCGAAAGGGGUGCUAAUACCGGAUAAUGCCUUCGGACCAAAGAUUUAUCGCCUUUGGAUGGGCCCGCGUUGGAUUAGCUAGUUGGUAGGGUAAAAGCCUACCAAGGCGACGAUCCAUAGCUGGUCUGAGAGGAUGAUCAGCCACACUGGGACUGAGACACGGCCCAGACUCCUACGGGAGGCAGCAGUGGGGAAUAUUGGACAAUGGGCGAAAGCCUGAUCCAGCAAUGCCGCGUGAGUGAUGAAGGCCUUAGGGUUGUAAAGCUCUUUUACCCGGGAUGAUAAUGACAGUACCGGGAGAAUAAGCGCCGGCUAACUCCGCG